CAGAACCGGGUUUCUCCCCAACAGAACCGGGUCGUGGCCGUUUUGCUGACGCAGCAAAAAGCCUUUAAAAGACGUUUCAAAGUGAAAGUGACGGCAGAAACAGAUUCUCUUCUUCCUGUUCAAAUCUCAGCGGCUGAAAUAAGACAAACCAGCUAAAGGGAGGAGAAGAAAUGAGGCCGACUCUACAUUUCAUUCUGACGUUAAGUUUUCUGCCUUUUCUGGAAACUGCAAUUACAAAGUUUGAAGGACAAAAUGUCACCUUCCAACCAAACAUCCCUGGACCUCAGAUUAGUUCCUAUUACUGGACUUUUAUGCAAAAUAAUCAAACUGAGAAAAUAAUAGAUGUGACUGGAGAGAUCAAGAAAAUGAACAGAACCAGAUUUGAAGGUCGCCUGGAUACGGAUGUAAAAACUGGAUCAAUCACAAUUUCAAACCUCAAUCUUUGUGACA
Molecule: long non-coding RNA, 450 nt
Organism: Poeciliopsis prolifica (blackstripe livebearer)
Lineage: Eukaryota; Metazoa; Chordata; Actinopteri; Cyprinodontiformes; Poeciliidae
Exons: 3
Source: RefSeq, a predicted model, not a curated record